UUUCCGUAGGUGAACCUGCGGAAGGAUCACUCAUAAUAAAGUGUUUUAUGGCACUUUUUAAAAAUCCAUAUCCACCUUGUGUGCAAUGUUAGAUCUCGUCAAUCUUGGCGAGAUUUUUAUACAUCAACUCAUUCUUUAACUAAUUUGUCUGAAAAAUAUUAUGAAUACUUAAUUCAAAAUACAACUUUCAACAACGGAUCUCUUGGCUCUC
This 211-nucleotide unclassified non-coding RNA is filed under the name plant metagenome. RNAcentral describes it as "partial contains small subunit ribosomal RNA, internal transcribed spacer 1, and 5.8S ribosomal RNA". The record is from RNAcentral.